This is a long non-coding RNA of Mauremys reevesii (Reeves's turtle), 566 nucleotides long. RefSeq lists it as uncharacterized. The record is from RefSeq and is a predicted model, not a curated record. The transcript has 2 exons. NCBI's taxonomy places the organism in Eukaryota, Metazoa, Chordata, Testudines, Geoemydidae.
CGCCCCACCCCGCCCCGCCCCGAACCGGCCGCAGGAGCUGGGCCGGUAAAAGCUGUUGCCUCACCCCCCUCGUGUCCACAGGCCUGGGACCAGCACUGCAAAGUCCUUCAUCAACCACAGGACACCAAACCCCGCCAAGCCAACCACCAGAAUUAGAGCAACAUACUGCAGCCCUUGGGAGACAAAAUUAUGAUGUGCCCCGGGCAGAGAACAGGAGGGACCUGCUGCACCAACACCCUUGCAGUGGCAGGGAAAUGAUUUAGUAGGAUAGUCCUACCAAGUGCAUGGCCCAUCCUGCAGAGAAAGGUGAAAACUCAGAAGGGCCCUGGUAACAUGAUAGCUACUCCUAUUCCAAGCAAUGGCAGCAUUUUGGGGAAGACCAAACCUCUGCUGUUUUGAACCCAGUAUUUUCUUUUGCCCACUGCUCUGGUCCUGACCCUUCGUGUGUCAAUUGUACCUAUCACCUUUUAGGUGUCACUAGCCUCUGAGGGAAUCCCUGUGGCUGUCAUGGAAACGUUACAUACUUUCAGUUUUCAAAUGUUUGAACAAUAAAUGUGUUAAGAGAG